UACGUAGGGCGCAAGCGUUAUCCGGAAUUAUUGGGCGUAAAGAGCUCGUAGGCGGUUUGUCGCGUCUGCCGUGAAAGUCCGGGGCUCACUCCGGAUCGUGGCGGUGGGUACGGGCAGACUAGAGUGAUGUAGGGGGAGACUGGAAUUCCUGGUGUAGCGGUGAAAUGCGCAGAUAUCAGGAAGAACACCCGUGGCGAAGGCGGCUCUCUGGGACGGUACUGACGCUGAGACGCGAAAGCGUGGGGAGCGAACAGG
Molecule: ribosomal RNA, 255 nt
Filed under: uncultured bacterium
Lineage: Bacteria
Description: partial 16S ribosomal RNA
Rfam family: Bacterial small subunit ribosomal RNA
Source: RNAcentral